UAUUCUGGUGUCCUCGGCAUAGAAGAACCACACCAACCCAUACCGAACUUGGUGGUUAACCUCGACUGCGGCGAAGAUACUGUAGGGGAGGCCUUGCGGAAAAAUAGCUCGAUGCCAGGAU
This 121-nucleotide ribosomal RNA is filed under the name Hypericum acmosepalum. RNAcentral also lists the same sequence under 3 other names. Lineage: Eukaryota; Viridiplantae; Streptophyta; Magnoliopsida; Malpighiales; Hypericaceae. The record is from RNAcentral.